This is a long non-coding RNA of Felis catus (domestic cat), 2468 nucleotides long. RefSeq lists it as uncharacterized. The record is from RefSeq and is a predicted model, not a curated record. The transcript has 5 exons. Lineage: Eukaryota; Metazoa; Chordata; Mammalia; Carnivora; Felidae.
GUCGGACACUUAACUGACUGAGCCACCCAGGCACCCCUCAAACAUUUUUAAAAAUACAUGGUUCCUGUCAGCCUGAUAGUGGUUUUUGUUUUUUGUUUUCCUGGUUAUGUUCAGUUUCUUGGGUGCAGGCACAGAGUAGGAGGAGAAUUGGAUUUUUCCAAGGCUGGGUUUUGCUAAAUAUGAUAAAUUGAGAGAGAAGCGGGAGGUGGAGGGUAUGUUUAUAAUGAUAGAUCAUGGCAUUUAAAUAAGGUGAGGGAAGUGAGGACAUGGAGGGAGAGAGACAGUAAACAGAUGAUGGAAUUAAUUGAUUGUAGGUCCUAGUGGGAUUGAUGGAUUAUUGCAGGUGGCCUCUAUAGAGAGUGAUCUUGAAAGAGAGUAGAUGGAGGACAGAGUGUGGGAUGUUUGGAUUUGAGAUCAUGGAUGGUUGUAUAUUGUGAUAAUAAUGACAGGGACUGAGGAUUGACCCUGGGGAGACAGGCAGAGAGAGAUAGGGUGGAGGACAAAAUCACUGGAAAGGUUAGAAGGACAAAGAGGACAGUGUUGAAAGUAUCAUCCACAUGGAAUUGAAAUCACUAAGAAUUAAGACAAGCGUGUUGUUAGAGUGAGUCACAAACUAGAAUCUUUGAAACUUGAGGAGAAUGAAAAAGAGACUGGUAGAUGUUUACAACAAGGAGAGGCAGGGGUGAUAAGAGACUAAUGAUAUAGAUUUAAAGCUGGAAAAUUUUAGAGAUAAUGGCUUAGAAGCAGCAAUGAGGAGCACUGAGGAAACCUAGUCUACUUUUAUCCUGGAUUCAGGAGGCAUGAGAGAGAUGACAGCUACUGUUUGAGACGAAUCCAGUAGAAAAAGGCUCCUCCGGGAAGAACCAGGUUUCUGUACAGUAACUUUGGAAAAAAAGUUGAGAAUACAAGAGAUUCUAUUGGUAGUAGACCAUGGGGUGCAGAGAGCACAGUGGAGGUGUUUCAGGAUUGGGGGAAUGGAGACAGAAGAGAUACAUAGCCUAUGAAAAUAAUGAAAGCCCCGUGUGUGAGGCACACACUAUUAGCAAUGGUAUUAGUCCUUUCCUCUGCCUGCCUCGGACUGACUUUUCCACAUAUUGGGGCUCUGCCUGCAGCAAGUAGUGUGUCCCAGUUCUCAGCUGUCUAAAAUGGAUCUAGCUCCUGGAACAGAGAGGAGAAGCAGGUAAUAAAGGAGCCCUCAGCCAAUAUUGCAAGAUUAGACAUAACUGUCAGUCAACUCUAACUGAUUGCCCUAACAGAGACUUCUCUGAUUUUCUCAUUCUGUUUGGAUUGAGACAUCUUGGAUAGGACAGAAAAAUCACUGAAGAGUCCAUCUCAAUUGCAUAAUAGACCUGGCAAUGGCAAACUUCUGUCUCACUGCAGUAUCUAGCCCCUUUGGAUUGUGAGGGGUUUGUGUCAGUGAAUGGAGAGUCAACACCAUCAUUUCAACCAGAUCCUUCUCAAACCAGCCACUGCCAAAAUUGCUUUUAAAAAGAAGAAAGAAGAAAACAAGAAAAUUCAUUUUUGUUAGGAUAGAUGAUAAGUGGCUCAUCUGACACAUGUGCACAUUGAUUCAUAGAAAACAUAAUUGUUUUUUUUUGCUGUUAUCACGGCCUUCUUGGUGGAGCUGUUGUUUUGCAGAAAUCAGUGGCCUGAAGGGGAGUGUGUGUGUGUGUGUGUGUGUGUGUGUGUGUGUGUGUGUGUGUGAGAAAAAUUCCUGUUCUGCAGCAGGAUAUAAGUAGAGCAUGCCCUAAUGGAUUCAGAGGCAUUCAACACUGGAGUUACAGCUCAGUCUUCACAGCUGAACUUUUAUUUUUCAGAACAUAGUUCUUUAGCCAUAAGGCAUUUGGCAAUUUUCAUCAAUAAAAAAAUAAAUUGCAUAAAAGGGAGUUGGGGUUGAACCCGCCUAUCACCUUUUAUGUGAAUUUUCUCUUUCUAUUCUCUCAGCGCAUGUCUGCCAGCAUUUACAUUCCUGAAAUAAUUUAUGUGGGGAUGGAAGAAAAACAGAAAAGAAAACAACUUCCUCAAACUACUCUACAAGGAGAACAUUUGGAAGAUCAUGUCGAUGGAAUAGUGAUGCAGUGGUAAAAUUAAAGGUUAUGACAACUGAAAUAAUUUGUAUGAAGAUAAAACGUGGUUUUGUUCACAAACAGGAAUUCGCCGUGAACUUUUCAGUCUCCACUUGAUCUUAGCCAAAAGGCCAAGAAGUGAUAACACUUUUCAGUCUCAAUAUAGGUUUGGCAAAUUGAUUUUCCCCCCAGCAACAUCAUACUCAGAGAUCCUGAAAGAAUGGCUCUAUAUUGGCAGAAUUUUGGAGUCAUUGCAAGCUUCUUGGGGGUGUGGAGAUUCAGCCACGCUUCCAUGAGACUACUGGUGACACUCCAUCUGUCAGAUCUCAAAUUGACAGAAGUGAUAAGGAGAAAGACAGAGCAUGAGCAGGGGAGAGGCAGACAAAGAAUCGGAAGCAGGCU